Molecule: unclassified non-coding RNA, 384 nt
Filed under: soil metagenome
Description: partial contains 5.8S ribosomal RNA, internal transcribed spacer 2, and large subunit ribosomal RNA
Rfam family: 5.8S ribosomal RNA (bases 1-120)
Source: RNAcentral
GAUGAAGAACGUAGCGAAAUGCGAUAAGUAAUGUGAAUUGCAGAAUUCAGUGAAUCAUCGAAUCUUUGAACGCACCUUGCACCCUUUGGCAUUCCGAAGGGUAUGCUCGUUUGAGUGUCAUUGUACUCUCACUCUCCCGAUGCUUUUGGAUCGGGAGUGGUGGACUUGGGUGUUGCUGCUUUGCUGUGGCUCGCCUCAAAUGGAGUAGUGCAACUCUUGGUUGGACAUAGUACGGCGUGAUAAGUGUCUUCGCCGGCGCCUCAUUAUAGAGGGUGGCCGAUCAGGAGCUCUGUGCUUCAAACCGUCUUCGGACAACAUCUGACAACUUGACCUCAAAUCGAGUAGGACUACCCGCUGAACUUAAGCAUAUCAAUAAGCGGAGGA